Molecule: non-coding RNA, 111 nt
Organism: Acanthosepion pharaonis
Lineage: Eukaryota; Metazoa; Mollusca; Cephalopoda; Sepiida; Sepiidae
Source: the annotation of a GenBank genome assembly
UGGCAGCCAUAUCAGCUUGAAAUAACGGUUCCCGUAUGAUCACCGAAGUUAAGCAACGUCGAUCCUGGUCAGUACCUAGAUGGGUAACCGCUUGGGAGUACCAGGUAAUGA